Non-coding RNA from Mauremys mutica (yellowpond turtle), 298 nucleotides. Lineage: Eukaryota; Metazoa; Chordata; Testudines; Geoemydidae. The record is from the annotation of a RefSeq genome assembly.
AGUGAGAGAUAGGAGGAGACGAAUUGGCUGAAAGAGACAUUCAGGAGAUGGCUUCAUGGAUAUUUAUAAGUACCUCCAUGGGGAGAAAGUACCGGGCAGUAAAGCGCCUCACUGCCCAGUGGAGGACCAAGGCAUCGAUGCUGAAGGAGGAGAGGAGGAAUCUGACGGUCUCUGGACACCUGUUGCCUUCAUUGCUCUCUUCCUGCUCAGCCUGUUGUACAGCGCCGGCGUCACGCUGCUUAAGGUAACAGCAACCGCUGCCUUCAUGGCCACGCGUCACUGCUUCCAGCAAUAACCA